RNAcentral lists this unclassified non-coding RNA (392 nucleotides) under soil metagenome. Its description in RNAcentral is "partial contains 5.8S ribosomal RNA, internal transcribed spacer 2, and large subunit ribosomal RNA". The stretch from base 1 to 120 matches the Rfam family "5.8S ribosomal RNA", at positions 35 to 154 of the family's 154-position model. The record is from RNAcentral.
GAUGAAGAACGUAGCGAAAUGCGAUAAGUAAUGUGAAUUGCAGAAUUCAGUGAACCAUCGAAUCUUUGAACGCACAUUGCGCCCCCUGGCAUCCCGGGGGGCACGCCUGUCCGAGCGUCAUGCGACCCCGUCGGGCGCCCCCACUCCGUUGCUGGAGGGCGGGUGCGCCCGGAGUUGGGCCCCGUGGCCCGCCCCAAGCCGGGCGGCUCGCGGGCCCGAAAGGUAUCGGCGGUGACGGCCUCCCCGAUCGAGCGACCGAGGUAAACUUCUACCGCAGCUCAUACGAUUGGGGCAAGGAGGUCUGUCGGUCCCGCGCAAGACCACACCACAACGUUUGACCUCGGAUCAGGCGGGGAUACCCGCUGAACUUAAGCAUAUCAAUAAGCGGAGGA